Prunus mume (Japanese apricot) is the source of this 1508-nucleotide RNA transcript. It is a transcript of the gene named 2-oxoglutarate (2OG) and Fe(II)-dependent oxygenase superfamily protein, with no coding region annotated. NCBI's taxonomy places the organism in Eukaryota, Viridiplantae, Streptophyta, Magnoliopsida, Rosales, Rosaceae. The record is from RefSeq and is a predicted model, not a curated record.
CAAAGCAACCGAAUAGAAAAUACGAGAAAACAGAGAGAGGAGAGUACAGUGCAGUCAAAGCCUCCAUACUUAAUUCUUGGCGGUUCAGUUUCUCCGGAAAUGGAAAACCAAAUCGCAAACGGUGCUGGUAAAGCUGUAAGAGCCUCCGCUCUCAAUUGUAUCGAUCUCUCAAGCUCCGAUAUACACCAAUCUGUCUCCUUACUGAAACAGGCCAGUUUGGAUUGCGGUUUUUUCUACGUGGUAAAUCAUGGGGUAAGCGAGAAGUUCAUGGACGAGGUGUUUGCACAGAGCAGGAGGCUUUUCAGCUUACCAUUGAGUGAAAAAAUGAAGCUUUUGAGGAACAAGAAUUACAGGGGAUAUACCCCUUCUCUUGAUGAGCAUCUGGACCAUGAAAACCAAGUACACGGAGAUUACAAGGAGGGGUAUUAUAUAGGAGUUGAGCUGCCUGAAGAUGACCCAGAACCGGAAAAUAAGCCAUUUUAUGGGCCUAAUGUUUGGCCUGCUCCAGAUAUGUUGCCGGGGUGGAGAGACUCCAUGGAGGAAUAUCAUAGACAAUGCUUGGAGGUGGCUAAAGCAGUUGCUAGGCUUGUAGCCCUUGCUCUUGAUCUAGACAUCCAUUUCUUUGAUAAACCAGAAAUGAUUGGCGAGGCUAUUGCAACAUUGCGGUUACUACACUAUGAUGGUCAAAUUUCCGAUCCAUCAAAUGGAAUUUUUGGAGCUGGUGCUCAUUCUGACUUUGGUUUUAUAACCCUUUUAGCAACAGAUGAUGUCGUAGGUCUCCAAAUAUGCAAGGAUAAGGAUGCUAAACCUCAAAUAUGGGAAUAUGUACCACCAAUUAAAGGAGCAUUUAUAGUGAAUCUUGGAGACAUGCUAGAACGCUGGAGCAAUGGCAUUUUCAAGUACUGCACAUCUCUUUUAGUCAUAACCCUAGUCCAACCUCCAAACUACAUAUAUGCUCAUAGAAGAUGAAUGCUGGCAAUUUCUGGAGCUGCACAAUUCAUUUUGCUCUUUAAGUCCACGCUGCAUAGAGUUGUAGGGAAUGGUCAAGACAGAUACUCUAUGGCAUACUUUAUAGAACCUAAUCACGAUUGUCUUGUUGAGUGCUUGCCUACCUGCAAAUCCGAAAAAAACCCUCCCAAGUUUCCUCCAAUCUUGUGUCGGACUUACCUGAGCCAGCGAUAUUACGAUACUCACGCUGAUUUGAAUGUCUAUGAUGAACAUACAAAAUAAGUUUGCCACCGCUCCUGCAAUUGAAGAUGAAUCCCCUUCUAAGAUAGCAUAAGAUUCAUAUGGUUUUACCAUUGUUGUAUUUGAUAAUGUGUUCCAUCAGUGCUCAAGUUGUAUUCUCAUGUAAAUCCAUAGAAUGUGUCCAAUGAAAAACAUAUCCCUGCCUCUAAAUUAAUGUACUGCAUCUGCAUAGUUGACUUCUUGGUCAAAGAAAAGGCUGUAGGAAGUCAGUCAAGGAUCAAUAAAUUUUAUUUAUUUAUUUAUAUAAGCUACAUUUACCA